This 206-nucleotide ribosomal RNA is filed under the name uncultured bacterium. RNAcentral's name for it is "partial 16S ribosomal RNA". It matches the Rfam family "Bacterial small subunit ribosomal RNA", at positions 568 to 774 of the family's 1533-position model. The record is from RNAcentral.
UGCGUAGGUGGCGCUGUAAGUCGGGUGUGAAAUUUCGAGGCUUAACCUCGAAACUGCAUUCGAUACUGCGGUGCUUGAGGACUGGAGAGGAGACUGGAAUUCAUGGUGUAGCAGUGAAAUGCGUAGAGAUCAUGAGGAAGACCAGUGGCGAAGGCGGGUCUCUGGACAGUUCCUGACACUGAGCACGAAGGCCAGGGGAGCAAACG